Molecule: ribosomal RNA, 1101 nt
Filed under: bacterium
Lineage: Bacteria
Description: partial 23S ribosomal RNA
Rfam family: Bacterial large subunit ribosomal RNA
Source: RNAcentral
CAUUGUGCUAAGGCGUAAGCCGACGUAUACGAUGUGACACGUGACCAAUGCCAAAAGAUUACGGUAAGAUGUUAGCACUUUAGUGCGAAGCUUCGAGCCCAAGUCCUGGUGAAUGUCGGCCGUAACUAUAACGGUCCUAAGGUAGCGAAAUUCCUUGUCGGGUAAGUUCCGACCUGCACGAAUCGUGCAACGAGUUGGGCGCUGUCUCGACCAGGUGCUCAGUGAAAUUGUAGUUCCGGUGAAGAUGCCGGACACCCGCAGAAGGACGGAAAGACCCUAUAGACCUUAACUGUAAGCUGUUAUUGGUUGUUCGAUCUUAAUGCUCAGCAUAAGUGGGAGACAUUGAAGGGUGCGUUUAGGCGCAUCUGGAGUCAUCAGUGAGAUACCACCCUUUAAUAUUGGAUAAUCUAACCCCGAGCCGUCAUCCGGCCGUGGGGACAAUGGCAGCCGGUCAGUUUUACUGGGGCGGUAUCCUCCUAAAGAGUAACGGAGGAGCGCGAAGGUGGGCUCAGCACAGUUGGCAACUGUGUGUUGAGUGUAAAGGCACAAGCCCGCCUAACUGUGAGACCUACAAGUCGAGCAGAUACGAAAGUAGGCCUUAGUGAUCCGGCGGUAGAAUGUGGAAUUGCCGUCGCUCAACGGAUAAAAGGUACCUUAGGGAUAACAGGCUUAUCACGCCCAAGAGUUCAUAUCGACGGCGUGGUUUGGCACCUCGAUGUCGGCUCGUCGCAUCCUGGGGCUGGAGAAGGUCCCAAGGGUCCGGCUGUUCGCCGGUUAAAGCGGCACGCGAGCUGGGUUCAGAACGUCGCGAGACAGUUCGGUCCUCUAUCCUCUGUGGGCGUAGGAAAAUUGAAGGGUUCAGACCUUAGUACGAGAGGACCGGGUUUGACGCACCUCUGGUGUUCCAGUUGUUCUGUCAAGGGCACUGCUGGGUAGCUAAGUGCGGAACGGAUAAGCGCUGAAAGCAUCUAAGCGCCAAGCCAUUCCUGAGAUAAAUUUUCCCUGAAGGAUCGUGGAAGACGACCACGUUGAUAGGCUGGGGGUAGAAGUGCAGCAAUGUAUGUAGCUCACCAGUACUAAUCAUCCGUUCGACUUAAUUCC